GUCCUCAGUGCUGGCACAAUACAGAAAACCGCUCUACACGGAGGGAGCUCACUUCAAACAACGAAACUCCUCAACCGCGGUGACACGCAGGAUGCAUGUGGACCAGCUACAUCAGAGUGCAGUCAAAAUAGCAGAAGUUGUUAGUGUGAAAAAUGCUUAAGCUAGCUGAGGCCUCAGCAGUUUGCUUUUGCCUGAGCCUACUGAGAAGGUUUUCUUAUGCCGCAGUGCACAGGAGAGAGUAUGAACAAAAAUUCCCAGGACAGCUACAGUAGGGAAGAGGGCUCGUUGUGUGAGUUCACAGAUGACCAUAUGAAGAAACACAGUUAUAGUGGCCACGGAGCACCUGGGAAGUGCAUGCGGAGCCCUAAGAGCUCCUUGGAGCAAAGGCUGAGAACUGCUGCUCUAACAGAAUGACUGUAUAUUGCUACAGGGAAAGGUUUUAUCUGAUCUCAUUUGCAAGGCGAAUGGUAGAAGCAACUCAUUUGGAGAUGUGUUACACUUAAUCUGCAUGUCCCUUCUUUAUGCUUCCAUAGCUGACAAAAAAUCUCUUGAUGCUAUCCAGGGGUAGGCAACCUUUUUGAGCCAGGGGCCG
Molecule: long non-coding RNA, 592 nt
Organism: Sceloporus undulatus (fence lizard)
Lineage: Eukaryota; Metazoa; Chordata; Lepidosauria; Squamata; Phrynosomatidae
Exons: 4
Source: RefSeq, a predicted model, not a curated record